UUUAGCUUCGUCUCAGCUCGAUAUUACAAAAGGCAAACCCUUAGAGUUUCAUAGCUGGGUACCAAGUCCUAAUCAACUAUGAUAAUUUGAACAUUUUCUCCUUCAAAAAAUGACACCAAGCUUGCCAGUGCAUCUAUGUGUGAAUUCAAAUCUCUGCCCACUUGCUCGAUUUUUAUAGCUCAGAAUUUCUUGAGGAGAGGCUUUACCAGGCUUAAAACCUCUCGGUGACCUAAUUGACUACCAGUUUUGAAUCUCUGAAGAUGUGAAGCCCGAGAACCAGCAACUUCUUGGAAGAUCUCAAUCCUGGUAUGAAUGGUUCGUAUUCUGUUUCAUUGUUCUGGUAGGGAAAUUCAGCCAAAGGUAGUGCUCGAAGACUGUCCCCUCGAAUCUUUUUAGAACCACUCCUGCUCCUACACCUAGGUUGUUUUUGGACCCAUCGACGUACAUCUUCUAGGCUUUUGAUUGAUCAAUCUGAGGUGGUUCCUUAAGAACCUCGGGAACCUCAGGAGUAUCCUUAGUCUCAGGUGUUAUUUUGGCCACCACUGAUGUUCUUGAUGAGCUUUCUUCCUCUAUGUGGGCAAAUACAGGAUAACCCGAUUUUGGACUCAUAAUUCGAGGCGAGAACUCCACAACAAAAUCAGCCAAUACCUAGUUGGAAGGAACUUAAUGUCAAACUGUCCAAGUUCAACAACCCAUUUGGAUAGUCUCUCGAAAAAGUCUACCUUCACUAGCAUAUGGAGGGAAUCCCAGCAUAUGGAAGGCUUGAACCAAUUUUAGGAAUAUUUUGGGAGAAUUCUUUGUCUUGAAGAAUUCUUUCUCUUUCUAUUAUUUUAUUUUUCUAAUUUUCUUAGCUCUUAAGCAUAUAUCUAGUCCUAACUUGAAGAGAGUUAGAAAGAAGGAAGAAAAACACUUUGUUUUGGAGUUG
Molecule: long non-coding RNA, 925 nt
Filed under: Actinidia chinensis (golden kiwifruit)
Lineage: Eukaryota; Viridiplantae; Streptophyta; Magnoliopsida; Ericales; Actinidiaceae
Description: long non-coding RNA (ACHI_LNC008227)
Source: RNAcentral